Cyprinus carpio (common carp) is the source of this 1068-nucleotide long non-coding RNA. NCBI's taxonomy places the organism in Eukaryota, Metazoa, Chordata, Actinopteri, Cypriniformes, Cyprinidae. The record is from Ensembl.
UAAAGAUGAUGGUGUCAUACAACCUUUCCAUACUCAUAUCUGCGUGAGCUUCAAUCAGAUUACAGGACAAAUCCAGUAGCGAUUGAUUGUAGGCCCUAAAAUGAUCCUUGACAUCAACAACAAAAUAAAGGGGAAUGUUUUCUCCUCCCUUGCAUGUUUUGCUGUAUUAAGUGAAUCUACACGGAACAUAUCCUCAUCUGUUAUUUGGUAGAAGCUCAUGCAAAUGUCAACAGACAGGUGGCAUUCAACCUUAUCUUCAAAAACCAUAAACAAAAUUAAAAAAACACUUCCUGCAAAUUCCUGCAUCUAUACAUCACCAUCAGAAGACAAAAUUCAUAAAAGCACUGACCGACUGCAGAUCAACCAGCGUCCAGUGAGGAGCAUCUCAGCUGAGCACGAAACCAAAGAGAAAAACCAUCAAGAUCAUUUAGUACACUUACAGGAGAACAAGAGAAGAAAUGAACAUUCACAUAAACCCACCAACAGUAGCGUAUAUUGGUCAAACUGGGGUCAGCGUUCAGCCCACUGUGUUCACACCAGCUGUCACUGCAGUGCCAGAUUACUUUUUCUACUCCAUCUUUACCACGGUUUUCUGCUGUUUACCUCUGGGCAUCGCUGCUCUCAUCCACUCAUGCUACACUCGAGAUGCUAACUUGGCUGGACAGCAAGAGUUAGCGAGGAGCAGCUCCAGAAUGGCGUUUAUCCUGAACAACGUCGCUCUCGGUAUCGGCCUCACAUCCAUCACACUCGGCAUUAUCGUUAGAGUUACAAUUCGUUGAACAACAUCUUUGGACAGACGUUGAAUUCUACUUCAAGUGCAUCUACUCGUACUGUAACCAAAUCAGUAACUUUGAAAUUACAAGAAAUUACAAAUAUUUUUCAGACCCUCUGAGGGAAUAAUCUAAUGUACGGCUGUGUUUUAUUGCUUCUUGUAGUUAAUGUUGGCAGAUUGAUCUGUCAAAUUAUCAGAAAUUAAACUGCUUUUGACUGUGCUGAUUUAAAAUGUUUUAUUUUUUAUUUUUUUAUUACACAUUCAAAUAAAGUGUUAAAAUUUGUUUAAAAUAAACA